AUUGAACGCUGGCGGCAUGCCUUACACAUGCAAGUCGAACGGCAGCACGGGAGCAAUCCUGGUGGCGAGUGGCGAACGGGUGAGUAAAGUAUCGGAACGUGCCCAGUCGUGGGGGAUAACGUAGCGAAAGUUACGCUAAUACCGCAUACGAUCUAUGGAUGAAAGCGGGGGAUCGCAAGACCUCGCGCGAUUGGAGCGGCCGAUAUCAGAUUAGGUAGUUGGUGGGGUAAAGGCUCACCAAGCCGACGAUCUGUAGCUGGUCUGAGAGGACGACCAGCAACACUGGGAAUGAGACACGGCCCAGACUCCUACGGGAGGCAGGAGUGGGGAAUUUUGGACAAUGGGCGAAAGCCUGAUCCAGCCAUGCCGCGUGCAGGAUGAAGGCCUUCGGGUUGUAAACUGCUUUUGUACGGAACGAAAAGGUUUGGCCUAAUAAGCUGAGCUCAUGACGGUACCGUAAGAAUAAGCACCGGCUAACUACGUGCCAGCAGCCGCCGUAA
RNAcentral lists this ribosomal RNA (500 nucleotides) under uncultured bacterium. RNAcentral describes it as "partial 16S ribosomal RNA". It matches the Rfam family "Bacterial small subunit ribosomal RNA", at positions 30 to 523 of the family's 1533-position model. The record is from RNAcentral.